AUCUAGCCUGUUACCAUAACCAGAAGGAAGAGUGAAAAAAAGCAUCAGAGGUAGCUAAAAUCAGGGUGAGGAGCUUAAGUAUAGGACAUCUCUUCAGGUGAAAUAGCCAUCAAACCAUGUAUCAAAAGAAGGCUCUGCUACCAUAAAAUACUUUUGGACUUGGUUCACUACUUUUUGAUGCAUUUGCCUUCUCACUAGAGCCAGAGGUCCCCGAAGUACUAUCCACAUUAUCAGCGCCUGAACUAUCACCAAUGUCCAUGGGAAGCUUCAUCUUUGCAAGAGCCUCUGUAAACUGCUGCAUGCUUUUCAUGUAUAUCUCAACUAUCUCUUGUUGAACCACCUUUUGUUCAGGUUCUAUAGUCACAUUCACAACAGACUGGGUUAUUGUGCUAUCUGGCACUUCAGUUGCAAUGUUAUUAACUGGAGAUGGACCUUUGUCCUUCAACUUGGAAACCUCAUCCUGGUUCGAGGUUCAGGAAUGCUUAAUUCAUGAGAAACAGAUGAAGGGUUGAUUGGAACCAAAACUGAAGGAGGCUCUGCAGUUUUCAAUAUAGUUGGAGGAGUUUCACCCACCGGAACAUCAUUGGCACCUUGACCAUCAAGAGCCACAGCUUCUUGAACACAACCAUUAUUUCUAAUUGUAAGCUGACCAUCACUUGAAGCAGAGGCACACUGCUCUGUGCUUUUGCACUCCAAAUCCGGACAUGGAAUUGCAAAAUACUCUGAAGCCAUCCUCUCAUUUUCAUUCACAAUCUCUGGAUCAGGAAACUCAAUUUUAUCUAGUUCACAGGGUACUGAAUCAUCAACCUCGGAAUCUUUAUUAGCAACAUCUACAACGGUACAAGAGUGUGAAGCAGGGAUUUCAAGAACAUCAGGUGAUGCACCAGUGUAGGUGAGAGUAGUUGUACAAAACCAGCAGGAGAAUGGUAUAAAUCACUUGAAGAGAGUGAAAAUUCUUGUUCCGGUUUACCAUUCUCAAUGAGAACUUCACAAAGAGGCACCGAUGUGAAUCCCAACAACUGGUCU
Molecule: long non-coding RNA, 1026 nt
Filed under: Coffea arabica (coffee)
Lineage: Eukaryota; Viridiplantae; Streptophyta; Magnoliopsida; Gentianales; Rubiaceae
Description: long non-coding RNA (CARA_LNC003428)
Source: RNAcentral